UGCAAUUUAGAGAAAAUUGCAACUUUGGGCCCAAAGGUUUGAAUAAUUAAAUUCAAACCUAUAGUUUUUUUUUAAUAUAAUUUUGGGACUCACAAUCCCAUUUUUAUAUUAUUUUUCUCUCUUCCUCUCACGUUGCUCGGCGUUUUCUCGCAAGGGGGGAUUAUUUUCUUUUUUCUUCAGAUUAUAUUGACAAAGAUAGUGGUGAAAAAGGAGUUGUGAAGGGGAACUUGUUAUUCAAGACACAAGGAGCGAAUCCGGCCGAGAAAGCACCAGAGGUGUAAUUAUGGUGUAUGAGACACCAUCUUUUACGUUGCCUCUUAUUUUGGAUUAUACAAUGUAUCUUGUGCCAACUUAGGACAUAUCUUGUCUAUGGAGCAUGUAAACUCUAAUCCUUUUUAUUAAAUGCAUUUAUAUGUCCAAGAGGAUUAUGUCUGUCCCUUUUGAUUCAUGACCUAAUUUAAAUAACAUGCUAUGAGGAUCAUGUCUGUCCCUCAUGGUUCUAAUUGCUUUUUGAGAUAUUUUAAGACCUGUGGUAUAUUGUCUUGGAUGUAUCAUGGUAGAAAUUUUUCUACCAUGAUAAGGGUAUGAUAAGGGUUCAAUGAAAAAAAAAAUGAUUUCUUGAAUUAAUAACUUGCGAAAAAUCGGUUUGUAAA
This is a long non-coding RNA of Prosopis cineraria, 653 nucleotides long. RefSeq lists it as uncharacterized. The transcript is spliced from 3 exons. NCBI's taxonomy places the organism in Eukaryota, Viridiplantae, Streptophyta, Magnoliopsida, Fabales, Fabaceae. The record is from RefSeq and is a predicted model, not a curated record.